ACGUAGGGUGCAAGCGUUAAUCGGAAUUACUGGGCGUAAAGCGUGCGCAGGCGGUUGUGUAAGUUUGUCGUGAAAUCCCCGGGCUCAACCUGGGAAUUGCGAUGAAGACUGCACGGCUAGAGUGUGUCAGAGGGGGGUAGAAUUCCACGUGUAGCAGUGAAAUGCGUAGAUAUGUGGAGGAACACCGAUGGCGAAGGCAGCCCCCUGGGAUAACACUGACGCUCAUGCACGAAAGCGUGGGGAGCAAACAGG
This 252-nucleotide ribosomal RNA is filed under the name uncultured bacterium. Its description in RNAcentral is "partial 16S ribosomal RNA". It matches the Rfam family "Bacterial small subunit ribosomal RNA", at positions 525 to 776 of the family's 1533-position model. The record is from RNAcentral.